RNAcentral lists this non-coding RNA (26 nucleotides) under Cricetulus griseus (Chinese hamster). The record is from RNAcentral. Lineage: Eukaryota; Metazoa; Chordata; Mammalia; Rodentia; Cricetidae.
UUGGAGUGCUUCUUAGAACAAAAUCC